Long non-coding RNA from Rhincodon typus (whale shark), 304 nucleotides. RefSeq lists it as uncharacterized. The record is from RefSeq and is a predicted model, not a curated record. The transcript has 4 exons. NCBI's taxonomy places the organism in Eukaryota, Metazoa, Chordata, Chondrichthyes, Orectolobiformes, Rhincodontidae.
AGGUUACAAUGCUUUGCAUCUUGCUUCAAAAAAUAGUCACCAAGAAUGUGUGAGAAAGAUUCUUCAGUACAAGUGUCCUGUAGAAUGUGUUGACAGCAAUGGGAAGACAGCCUUGCACCAUGCAGCUGGAAGUGGUUGUAUCUCCAUUGUUCAACUGCUGUGUGAACAUAAGUGCCCUAUUAAUGUCAAGGACACAGAAGGUUUUACACCAUUGAUCCAGGCUGCACAGAACAACCAUGCUGAGGUGUGUCAUUACCUGAUCGACCAAGGGGCAGAAAUCGAUGCAAGAGACAAGAACGGCAGG